This 331-nucleotide ribosomal RNA is filed under the name uncultured bacterium. RNAcentral describes it as "bacterial SSU rRNA". It matches the Rfam family "Bacterial small subunit ribosomal RNA", at positions 568 to 898 of the family's 1533-position model. The record is from RNAcentral.
CACGUAGAUGGCUUUGUAAGUCGGAUGUGAAAUCCCCGGGCUCAACCUGGGAACUGCAUUCGAAACUGCAUUGCUCGAGUGUGGAAGAGGGAAGCGGAAUCCCAGGUGUAGCGGUGAAAUGCGUAGAUAUCUGGAGGAACAUCAGUGGCGAAGGCGGCUUCCUGGUCCAACACUGACAUUCAGGUGCGAAAGCGUGGGGAGCAAACAGGAUUAGAUACCCUGGUAGUCCACGCCAUAAACGAUGAGAACUAGAUGUCGGGAGGGUUAGCCUUCCGGUGUCGCAGCUAACGCGUUAAGUUCUCCGCCUGGGGAGUACGGCCGCAAGGUUGAA